AAAAAUUUAGUUAAUCUAUAACAUUAGUUUGUCAAACUAAAAUAAUUUCUUAGAAAUAAUUUUUA
This 65-nucleotide transfer RNA is filed under the name Onthophagus nr. babirussa. RNAcentral's name for it is "tRNA-Asp". Lineage: Eukaryota; Metazoa; Arthropoda; Insecta; Coleoptera; Scarabaeidae. The record is from RNAcentral.